UAAGCAUAUCAAUAAGCGGAGGAAAAGAAACCAACAGGGAUUGCCCUAGUAACGGCGAGUGAAGCGGCAACAGCUCAAAUUUGAAAUCUGGCUUUCGGGCCCGAGUUGUAAUUUGUAGAGGAUACUUUUGAUGCGGUGCCUUCCGAGUUCCCUGGAACGGGACGCCAUAGAGGGUGAGAGCCCCGUCUGGUUGGAUGCCAAAUCUCUGUAAAGUUCCUUCGACGAGUCGAGUAGUUUGGGAAUGCUGCUCUAAAUGGGAGGUAUAUGUCUUCUAAAGCUAAAUAUUGGCCAGAGACCGAUAGCGCACAAGUAGAGUGAUCGAAAGAUGAAAAGCACUUUGAAAAGAGAGUUAAAAAGUACGUGAAAUUGUUGAAAGGGAAGCGUUUAUGACCAGACUUGGACUUGGUUAAUCAUCUGGGGUUCUCCCCAGUGCACUUUUCCAGUUCAGGCCAGCAUCAGUUUUCGCCGGGGGAUAAAGGCAGCGGGAAUGUGGCUCUCUUCGGGGAGUGUUAUAGCCCGUUGUGUAAUACCCUGGUGGGGACUGAGGUUCGCGCUUCUGCAAGGAUGCUGGCGUAAUGGUCAUCAACGACCCGUCUUGAAACACGGACCAAGGAGUCGUCUUCGUAUGCGAGUGUUCGGGUGUCAAACCCCUACGCGUAAUGAAAGUGAACGCAGGUGAGAGCUUCGGCGCAUCAUCGACCGAUCCUGAUGUUCUCGGAUGGAUUUGAGUAAGAGCAUACGGGGCCGGACCCGAAAGAAGGUGAACUAUGCCUGUAUAGGGUGAAGCCAGAGGAAACUCUGGUGGAGGCUCGCAGCGGUUCUGACGUGCAAAUCGAUCGUCAAAUAUGGGCAUGGGGGCGAAAGACUAAUCGAACCUUCUAGUAGCUGGUUUCCGCCAA
RNAcentral lists this ribosomal RNA (899 nucleotides) under Microdochium nivale. Its description in RNAcentral is "LSU rRNA". It matches the Rfam family "Eukaryotic large subunit ribosomal RNA", at positions 35 to 964 of the family's 3401-position model. Lineage: Eukaryota; Fungi; Ascomycota; Sordariomycetes; Xylariales; Microdochiaceae. The record is from RNAcentral.